UACGUAGGGUGCAAGCGUUGUCCGGAAUUAUUGGGCGUAAAGAGCGUGUAGGCGGCCAGGCAGGUCCGCUGUGAAAACUCGAGGCUCAACCUCGAGAGGUCGGUGGAAACCGUCUGGCUAGAGUCCGGAAGAGGAGAGUGGAAUUCCCGGUGUAGCGGUGAAAUGCGCAGAUAUCGGGAAGAACACCCGUGGCGAAGGCGGCUCUCUGGGACGGUACUGACGCUGAGGAGCGAAAGCGUGGGUAGCAAACAGG
This 253-nucleotide ribosomal RNA is filed under the name uncultured bacterium. Its description in RNAcentral is "partial 16S ribosomal RNA". It matches the Rfam family "Bacterial small subunit ribosomal RNA", at positions 524 to 776 of the family's 1533-position model. The record is from RNAcentral.